This 253-nucleotide ribosomal RNA is filed under the name uncultured bacterium. RNAcentral describes it as "partial 16S ribosomal RNA". It matches the Rfam family "Bacterial small subunit ribosomal RNA", at positions 524 to 776 of the family's 1533-position model. The record is from RNAcentral.
UACAGAGGUCUCAAGCGUUGUUCGGAUUCAUUGGGCGUAAAGGGUGUGUAGGUGGCGCCGUAAGUCAGGUGUGAAAUUUCGGAGCUUAACUCCGAAACUGCAUUUGAUACUGCGGUGCUUGAGGACUGGAGAGGAGACUGGAAUUUACGGUGUAGCAGUGAAAUGCGUAGAUAUCGUAAGGAAGACCAGUGGCGAAGGCGGGUCUCUGGACAGUUCCUGACACUGAGACACGAAGGCCAGGGGAGCGAACGGG